CACGUAGGAGGCGAGCGUUGUCCGGAAUCAUUGGGCGUAAAGAGCGCGCAGGCGGCUUGGCAAGUCGGGUGUGAAAUCCCGGGGCUCAACCCCGGGACUGCAUUCGAUACUGUCAGGCUAGAGGUAGGUAGGGGAGAUCGGAAUUCCUGGUGUAGCGGUGAAAUGCGCAGAUAUCAGGAGGAACACCGGUGGCGAAGGCGGAUCUCUGGGCCUUGCCUGACGCUCAGGCGCGAAAGCUAGGGGAGCGAACAGG
RNAcentral lists this ribosomal RNA (253 nucleotides) under uncultured bacterium. RNAcentral's name for it is "partial 16S ribosomal RNA". It matches the Rfam family "Bacterial small subunit ribosomal RNA", at positions 524 to 776 of the family's 1533-position model. The record is from RNAcentral.